RNAcentral lists this long non-coding RNA (412 nucleotides) under Phoenix dactylifera (date palm). Its description in RNAcentral is "long non-coding RNA (PDAC_LNC018256)". Lineage: Eukaryota; Viridiplantae; Streptophyta; Magnoliopsida; Arecales; Arecaceae. The record is from RNAcentral.
AUCAAUUUUGUGAUAUAGAAAAUACUUUUGGAAAUAUAAUCAAAUCACUUCAUUUUAUAGUAUACUUUACUCACUAUUGGAUAAGUUGCAAAAUGAUUAAUUUAUUAAGAAUAAUUCUAUGAAUUCUCUAUAUGCUUGAUUGAGAGUUUUUAUCCAUGGCAUUAUUGUUUAUUGAUCAUAGAUAUGAUAAUGUGUACUUGGUAUGUUUUUGAAUAUGUGUACUAUGAAUACCAAGAUUAAAGAAACCAUCUUUAGCAUACAAAAUCAACUCAUGCUAGUAUAUACUUAAUCUCAAAAGACCUUGCCAUUGGCUUACUUAAAUUAUCUUCUUAAAGGUCAAAGUUUUGCUAUGCAUGCUAACUAAGGAAACAAACAAAAAAUCAUUUCUAAAUCUAAAGAUGUUGUUUCCAUC